RNAcentral lists this ribosomal RNA (253 nucleotides) under uncultured bacterium. Its description in RNAcentral is "partial 16S ribosomal RNA". It matches the Rfam family "Bacterial small subunit ribosomal RNA", at positions 524 to 776 of the family's 1533-position model. The record is from RNAcentral.
UACGGGGGGGGCAAGCGUUGUUCGGAAUUACUGGGCGUAAAGGGCUCGUAGGCGGCCAACUAAGUCAGACGUGAAAUCCCUCGGCUUAACCGGGGAACUGCGUCUGAUACUGGAUGGCUUGAAUCCGGGAGAGGGAUGCGGAAUUCCAGGUGUAGCGGUGAAAUGCGUAGAUAUCUGGAGGAACACCGGAGGCGAAGGCGGCAUCCUGGACCGGCAUUGACGCUGAGGAGCGAAAGCCAGGGGAGCAAACGGG